ACGGAGGGUGCUAGCGUUGUUCGGAAUUACUGGGCGUAAAGGGCGCGUAGGCGGCUUGUCAAGUUGGAAGUGAAAUCCCGGGGCUCAACCCCGGAACUGCUUUCAAAACUGGCUAGCUUGAGUUAUGUAGAGGAUAGUGGAAUUCCCAAUGUAGAGGUGAAAUUCGUAGAUAUUGGGAGGAACACCAGAAGCGAAGGCGACUAUCUGGGCAUAUACUGACGCUGAGGCGCGAAAGUGUGGGGAGCAAACAGG
Molecule: ribosomal RNA, 252 nt
Filed under: uncultured bacterium
Lineage: Bacteria
Description: partial 16S ribosomal RNA
Rfam family: Bacterial small subunit ribosomal RNA
Source: RNAcentral